CCUACGGGUGGCUGCAGUGGGGAAUAUUGGACAAUGGGGGGAACCCUGAUCCAGCCAUGCCGCGUGUGUGAAGAAGGCCCUCGGGUUGUAAAGCACUUUCAGUGAGGAAGAACGCCUGGUGGUUAAUACCCAUCAGGAAAGACAUCACUCACAGAAGAAGCACCGGCUAACUCCGUGCCAGCAGCCGCGGUAAUACGGAGGGUGCGAGCGUUAAUCGGAAUUACUGGGCGUAAAGCGCGCGUAGGUGGCUUGAUAAGCCGGUUGUGAAAACCCCGGGCUCAACCUGGGAACGGCAUCCGGAACUGUCAAGCUAGAGUGCAGGAGAGGAAGGUAGAAUUCCCGGUGUAGCGGUGAAAUGCGUAGAGAUCGGGAGGAAUACCAGUGGCGAAGGCGGCCUUCUGGACUGACACUGACACUGAGGUGCGAAAGCGUGGGUAGCAAACAGGAUUAGAUACCCCAGUAGUC
RNAcentral lists this ribosomal RNA (465 nucleotides) under Vreelandella stevensii. RNAcentral's name for it is "partial 16S ribosomal RNA". It matches the Rfam family "Bacterial small subunit ribosomal RNA", at positions 338 to 795 of the family's 1533-position model. The record is from RNAcentral. Lineage: Bacteria; Pseudomonadati; Pseudomonadota; Gammaproteobacteria; Oceanospirillales; Halomonadaceae.